AAGCCAUAACUGAAAUGGGCCCGA
Molecule: non-coding RNA, 24 nt
Filed under: Arabidopsis thaliana (thale cress)
Lineage: Eukaryota; Viridiplantae; Streptophyta; Magnoliopsida; Brassicales; Brassicaceae
Source: RNAcentral